This 434-nucleotide ribosomal RNA is filed under the name uncultured Lachnospiraceae bacterium. RNAcentral's name for it is "partial 16S ribosomal RNA". It matches the Rfam family "Bacterial small subunit ribosomal RNA", at positions 341 to 792 of the family's 1533-position model. Lineage: Bacteria; Bacillati; Bacillota; Clostridia; Lachnospirales; Lachnospiraceae. The record is from RNAcentral.
ACGGAGGCAGCAGUGGGGAAUAUUGCACAAUGGGGGAAACCCUGAUGCAGCGACGCCGCGUGAGUGAUUGAAGUAUUUCGGUAUGUAAAGCUCUAUCAGCAGGGAAGAAAAUGACGGUACCUGACUAAGAAGCCCCGGCUAACUACGUGCCAGCAGCCGCGGUAAUACGUAGGGGGCAAGCGUUAUCCGGAUUUACUGGGUGUAAAGGGAGCGUAGGUGGUAUGGUAAGUCAGAAGUGAAAACCCAGGGCUCAACUUUGGGAUUGCUUUUGAAACUAUCAAACUAGAGUGCAGGAGGGGUAAGCGGAAUUCCUAGUGUAGCGGUGAAAUGCGUAGAUAUUAGGAAGAACACCAGAGGCGAAGGCGGCUUACUGGACUGUAACUGACACUGAGGCUCGAAAGCGUGGGGAGCAAACAGGAUUAGAUACCCUGGUA